AGGAGGAGGAGGAGGAGGAGGAGGAGGAGGAGGAGGAGGAGGAGGAGGGGUUAAUAGACAAUACAUUAGAUAUGUUAACAACACAGUAACCUGGAGGAGGAGGAGGAGGAGGAGGAGGAGGAGGAGGAGGAGGAGGA
Oncorhynchus tshawytscha (Chinook salmon) is the source of this 137-nucleotide long non-coding RNA. RefSeq lists it as uncharacterized. Lineage: Eukaryota; Metazoa; Chordata; Actinopteri; Salmoniformes; Salmonidae. The transcript has 2 exons. The record is from RefSeq and is a predicted model, not a curated record.